CUACUCAAUUUGGCAGUAUAUAUACUAAAAUUGGCAUGAUACAGAGAAGAUUAGCAUGGCCCCUGCUCAAGGAUGAUAUGCAAAU
This 85-nucleotide small nuclear RNA is filed under the name Octodon degus (degu). The record is from RNAcentral. Lineage: Eukaryota; Metazoa; Chordata; Mammalia; Rodentia; Octodontidae.